UUACCUGAGUGUGAGUUGACUGGCUGUCUU
RNAcentral lists this non-coding RNA (30 nucleotides) under Mus musculus (house mouse). The record is from RNAcentral. Lineage: Eukaryota; Metazoa; Chordata; Mammalia; Rodentia; Muridae.